This is a non-coding RNA of Hordeum vulgare subsp. vulgare (domesticated barley), 125 nucleotides long. Lineage: Eukaryota; Viridiplantae; Streptophyta; Magnoliopsida; Poales; Poaceae. The record is from Rfam.
CUACUACUCCCUUCGUCCGGAAAUACUUGUCGGAGAAAUGAAUAAAAAUGGAUGUAUCUAGUACUAAAAUACGUCUACAUACAUCCAUGUCUCCGACAAGUAUUUUCGGACGAAGGGGGUACUAU